Molecule: ribosomal RNA, 392 nt
Filed under: uncultured bacterium
Lineage: Bacteria
Description: bacterial SSU rRNA
Rfam family: Bacterial small subunit ribosomal RNA
Source: RNAcentral
GGCCUUCGGGUUGUAAACUGCUUUUGUACGGAACGAAAAGGCCCUGGUGAACAACCGGGGUUGCUUGACGGUACCGUAAGAAUAAGCACCGGCUAACUACGUGCCAGCAGCCGCGGUAAUACGUAGGGUGCGAGCGUUAAUCGGAAUUACUGGGCGUAAAGCGUGCGCGGGCGGACAUGCAAGACAGAUGUGAAAUCCCCGGGCUCAACCUGGGAACUGCAUAUGUGACUGUAUGACUGGAGUACGGCAGAGGGGGAUGGAAUUCCGCGUGUAGCAGUGAAAUGCGUAGAUAUGCGGAGGAACACCGAUGGCGAAGGCAAUCCCCUGGGCCAGUACUGACGCUCAUGCACGAAAGCGUGGGGAGCAAACAGGAUUAGAUACCCUGGUAGUCC